RNAcentral lists this ribosomal RNA (435 nucleotides) under uncultured bacterium. Its description in RNAcentral is "partial 16S ribosomal RNA". It matches the Rfam family "Bacterial small subunit ribosomal RNA", at positions 28 to 507 of the family's 1533-position model. The record is from RNAcentral.
GAUGAACGCUGGCGGUAUGCUUAACACAUGCAAGUCGAACGGACUCUUCGGAGUUAGUGGCGGACGGGUGAGUAACGCGUGAGAAUCUGGCUUUGGGUUCGGGACAACCACUGGAAACGGUGGCUAAUACCGGAUGUGCCGAGAGGUAAAAGAGAAAUUGACUGAAGAUGAGCUCGCGUCUGAUUAGCUAGUUGGUGAGGUAAAGGCUCACCAAGGCAGCGAUCAGUAGCUGGUCUGAGAGGAUGACCAGCCACACUGGGACUGAGACACGGCCCAGACUCCUACGGGAGGCAGCAGUGGGGAAUUUUCCGCAAUGGGCGAAAGCCUGAAGGAGCAAUACCGCGUGAGGGAAGAAGGCUCUUGGGUUGUAAACCUCUUUUCUUAGGGAAGAACAAAAUGACGGUACCUAAGGAAUCAGCAUCGGCUAACUCCGUG